Molecule: ribosomal RNA, 219 nt
Filed under: Acanthamoeba genotype T4
Lineage: Eukaryota; Discosea; Longamoebia; Acanthamoebidae
Description: partial 18S ribosomal RNA
Rfam family: Eukaryotic small subunit ribosomal RNA (bases 1-168)
Source: RNAcentral
GCGAGCAUCUGCCAGGAUGUUUUCAUUAAUCAAGAACGAAAGUUAGGGGAUCGAAGACGAUCAGAUACCGUCGUAGUCUUAACCAUAAACGAUGCCGACCAGCGAUUAGGAGACGUUGAAUACAAAACACCACCAUCGGUUGCGGUCGUCCUUGGCGUCUCGGUUUCGGCCGGGGCGCGGGGAUGGCUUAGCCCGGUGGCACCGGUGAAUGACUCCCCU